UGGGGAAUAUUGCACAAUGGGCGAAAGCCUGAUGCAGCAACGCCGCGUGAGUGAUGAAGGCCUUCGGGUUGUAAAGCUCUGUCUUUUGGGACGAUAAUGACGGUACCAAAGGAGGAAGCCACGGCUAACUACGUGCCAGCAGCCGCGGUAAUACGUAGGUGGCAAGCGUUGUCCGGAUUUACUGGGCGUAAAGGAUGCGUAGGCGGAUUUUUAAGUGAGAUGUGAAAACCCUAAGCUUAACUUGGGGACUGCAUUUCAUACUGGAAAUCUAGAGUGCGGGAGAGGAGAAUGGAAUUCCUAGUGUAGCGGUGAAAUGCGUAGAGAUUAGGAAGAACACCAGUGGCGAAGGCGAUUCUCUGGACCGUAACUGACGCUGAGGCAUGAAAAGCGUGGGUAGCAAACAGGAUUAGAUACCCUGGUAGUCCACGCCGUAAACGAUGAGUACUAGGUGUAGGAGGUAUCGACCCCUUCUGUGCCGCAGUUAAACACAAUAAGUACUCCGCCUGGGAAGUACGAUCGCAAGAUUAAAAA
This 531-nucleotide ribosomal RNA is filed under the name uncultured bacterium. RNAcentral describes it as "partial 16S ribosomal RNA". It matches the Rfam family "Bacterial small subunit ribosomal RNA", at positions 355 to 900 of the family's 1533-position model. The record is from RNAcentral.